This 89-nucleotide transfer RNA is filed under the name Monascus purpureus. Its description in RNAcentral is "tRNA-Pro". The record is from RNAcentral. Lineage: Eukaryota; Fungi; Ascomycota; Eurotiomycetes; Eurotiales; Aspergillaceae.
GCCCGGGUGGUCUAGUGGUAUGAUUCUCGCUUAGGGCCCACCCUAGCACAAUAUGCGAGAGGUCCCGCGUUCGAUCCGCGGCUCGGGCC